GGGGGGCAGCUACACAUGCAAGUCGAGCGGAACGAGUUAUCUGAACCUUCGGGGAACGAUAACGGCGUCGAGCGGCGGACGGGUGAGUAAUGCUUAGGAAUUUGCCCAGUCGAGGGGGACAACAGUUGGAAACGACUGCUAAUACCGCAUACGCCCUACGGGGGAAAGAGGGGGAUCUUCGGACCUCUCGCGAUUGGAUAAGCCUAAGUGAGAUUAGCUAGUUGGUGAGGUAAUGGCUCACCAAGGCGACGAUCUCUAGCUGGUCUGAGAGGAUGAUCAGCCACACUGGAACUGAGACACGGUCCAGACUCCUACGGGAGGCAGCAGUGGGGAAUAUUGCACAAUGGGCGCAAGCCUGAUGCAGCCAUGCCGCGUGUAUGAAGAAGGCCUUCGGGUUGUAAAGUACUUUCAGCAGUGAGGAAGGGUAGGUAGUUAAUAACUGCAUGCUUUGACGUUAGCUGCAGAAGAAGCACCGGCUAACUCCGUGCCAGCAGCCGCGGUAAUACGGAGGGUGCGAGCGUUAAUCGGAAUUACUGGGCGUAAAGCGCAUGCAGGUGGUUUGUUAAGUCAGAUGUGAAAGCCCGGGGCUCAACCUCGGAAUUGCAUUUGAAACUGGCAGGCUAGAGUACUGUAGAGGGGGGUAGAAUUUCAGGUGUAGCGGUGAAAUGCGUAGAGAUCUGAAGGAAUACCAGUGGCGAAGGCGGCCCCCUGGACAGAUACUGACACUCAGAUGCGAAAGCGUGGGGAGCAAACAGGAUUAGAUACCCUGGUAGUCCACGCCGUAAACGAUGUCUACUUGGAGGUUGUGGCCUUGAGCCGUGGCUUUCGGAGCUAACGCGUUAAGUAGACCGCCUGGGGAGUACGGUCGCAAGAUUAAAACUCAAAUGAAUUGACGGGGGCCCGCACAAGCGGUGGAGCAUGUGGUUUAAUUCGAUGCAACGCGAAGAACCUUACCUACUCUUGACAUCCAGAGAACUUUUCAGAGAUGAAUUGGUGCCUUCGGGAACUCUGAGACAGGUGCUGCAUGGCUGUCGUCAGCUCGUGUUGUGAAAUGUUGGGUUAAGUCCCGCAACGAGCGCAACCCUUAUCCUUGUUUGCAGCGAGUAUGUCGGGAACUCCAGGAGACUGCCGGUGAUAAACCGGAGGAAGGUGGGGGACGACGUCAGU
This 1167-nucleotide ribosomal RNA is filed under the name uncultured bacterium. RNAcentral's name for it is "bacterial SSU rRNA". It matches the Rfam family "Bacterial small subunit ribosomal RNA", at positions 41 to 1190 of the family's 1533-position model. The record is from RNAcentral.